RNAcentral lists this ribosomal RNA (275 nucleotides) under uncultured bacterium. RNAcentral's name for it is "partial 16S ribosomal RNA". It matches the Rfam family "Bacterial small subunit ribosomal RNA", at positions 524 to 796 of the family's 1533-position model. The record is from RNAcentral.
UACGGAGGGUGCAAGCGUUGUUCGGAAUUACUGGGCGUAAAGCGCGCGUAGGCGGUACGGUAAGUCUGAUCUGUGAAAUGCCGGGGCUCAACCCCGUGCCUGCAGGAGAUACUGCCGUGCUAGAGACAGGUAGAGGCCAGUGGAAUUUCGGGUGUAGCGGUGGAAUGCGUAGAGAUCCGAAAGAACACCGGAGGCGAAGGCGGCUGGCUGGGCCUUGUCUGACGCUGAGGUGCGAAAGCGUGGGGAGCGAACAGGAUUAGAUACCCCAGUAGUCC